This 167-nucleotide ribosomal RNA is filed under the name Taralea oppositifolia. RNAcentral's name for it is "5.8S ribosomal RNA". It matches the Rfam family "5.8S ribosomal RNA". From Rfam's summary of the family: 5.8S ribosomal RNA (5.8S rRNA) is a component of the large subunit of the eukaryotic ribosome. It is transcribed by RNA polymerase I as part of the 45S precursor that also contains 18S and 28S rRNA. RNAcentral also lists the same sequence under 1 other name. The record is from RNAcentral. Lineage: Eukaryota; Viridiplantae; Streptophyta; Magnoliopsida; Fabales; Fabaceae.
UCACAACGACUCUCGGCAACGGAUAUCUCGGCUCUUGCAUCGAUGAAGAACGUAGCGAAAUGCGAUACUUGGUGUGAAUUGCAGAAUCCCGUGAACCAUCGAGUCUUUGAACGCAAGUUGCGCCCGAAGCCACUAGGCCGAGGGCACGUCUGCCUGGGCGUCACGCA